UUUGACUAUAUUUUUAGGUUCAGACAUAGACUUUGCAGCAUAAAGACGGCGCCGGAGCACCGAAGCACACUCUGCCUCCACAGUUUUAAAGGGUUGAAGGCCAUGGAUGGCCAUUCAUUAAUGAUCCCUCCGCAGGUUCACCUACGGAGA
Molecule: unclassified non-coding RNA, 150 nt
Filed under: uncultured fungus
Lineage: Eukaryota; Fungi
Description: sequence contains ITS1
Source: RNAcentral